AUUGAACGCUGGCGGCAGGCCUAACACAUGCAAGUCGAGCGGAUGAAGGGAGCUUGCUCCUGGAUUCAGCGGCGGACGGGUGAGUAAUGCCUAGGAAUCUGCCUGGUAGUGGGGGAUAACGUCCGGAAACGGGCGCUAAUACCGCAUAGGUCCUGAGGGGGAAAGUGGGGGAUCUUCGGACCUCACGCUAUCAGAUGAGCCUAGGUCGGAUUAGCUAGUUGGUGGGGUAAAGGCCUACCAAGGCGACGAUCCGUAACUGGUCUGAGAGGAUGAUCAGUCACACUGGAACUGAGACACGGUCCAGACUCCUACGGGAGGCAGCAGUGGGGAAUAUUGGACAAUGGGCGAAAGCCUGAUCCAGCCAUGCCGCGUGUGUGAAGAAGGUCUUCGGAUUGUAAAGCACUUUAAGUUGGGAGGAAGGGCAGUAAGUUAAUACCUUGCUGUUUUGACGUUACCAACAGAAUAAGCACCGGCUAACUUCGUG
Molecule: ribosomal RNA, 484 nt
Filed under: uncultured bacterium
Lineage: Bacteria
Description: partial 16S ribosomal RNA
Rfam family: Bacterial small subunit ribosomal RNA
Source: RNAcentral